Molecule: unclassified non-coding RNA, 305 nt
Filed under: plant metagenome
Description: partial contains 5.8S ribosomal RNA, internal transcribed spacer 2, and large subunit ribosomal RNA
Rfam family: 5.8S ribosomal RNA (bases 1-105)
Source: RNAcentral
GAAAUGCGAUAAGUAGUGUGAAUUGCAGAAUUCAGUGAAUCAUCGAAUCUUUGAACGCACAUUGCGCCCUUUGGUAUUCCUUAGGGCAUGCCUGUUCGAGCGUCAUCUAAACCUUCAAGCCCUGCUUGGUGUUGGGUGCCUGUCCCGCCUCCGCGCGCGGACUCACCCCAAAUCCAUUGGCGGCCCCCGCGUCGGCCACGAGCGCAGCAGAAACGCGAACUCGUGAGCCCGUCCGGGCGGCUCCCAGAAGCUACACCCACCCAGUUUGACCUCGGAUCAGGUAGGGAUACCCGCUGAACUUAAGC